RNAcentral lists this ribosomal RNA (520 nucleotides) under uncultured bacterium. RNAcentral's name for it is "bacterial SSU rRNA". It matches the Rfam family "Bacterial small subunit ribosomal RNA", at positions 15 to 518 of the family's 1533-position model. The record is from RNAcentral.
GAUUAUGGCUCAGAUUGAACGCUGGCGGCGUGCUUAACACAUGCAAGUCGCGCGUGAAAGGACUUCGGUCCGAGUAAAGCGGCGCACGGGUGAGUAACGCGUGGAUGAUCUACCCAUGAGUUAGGAAUAACGGCUGGAAACGGUCGCUAAUACCAAAUACGCUCCGAUUUCAUCGUUCGGGGGAAAGGUGGCCUCUGCUUGCAAGCUACUGCUCAUGGAUGAGUCCGCGUCCCAUUAGCUAGUUGGGUGGGGUAACGGCCCACCAAGGCGACGAUGGGUAGCCGGUCUGAGAGGAUGACCGGCCACACUGGGACUGGAACACGGCCCAGACUCCUACGGGAGGCAGCAGUGGGGAAUAUUGCGCAAUGGGCGAAAGCCUGACGCAGCGACGCCGCGUGAGGGAUGAAGGUCCUCGGAUCGUAAACCUCUGUCAGGAGGGAAGAACCGCCACGGUGCUAAUCAGCCGUGGUCUGACGGUACCUCCAAAGGAAGCACCGGCUAACUCCGUGCCAGCCGCCGC